RNAcentral lists this ribosomal RNA (253 nucleotides) under uncultured bacterium. Its description in RNAcentral is "partial 16S ribosomal RNA". It matches the Rfam family "Bacterial small subunit ribosomal RNA", at positions 524 to 776 of the family's 1533-position model. The record is from RNAcentral.
GACGUAGGGCGCGAGCGUUGUCCGGAUUUAUUGGGCGUAAAGAGCUUGUAGGCGGUUUGUCGCGUCUGCUGUGAAAUUUCGGGGCUCAACCCCGAACUUGCAGUGGGUACGGGCAGACUAGAGUGUGGUAGGGGAGACUGGAAUUCCCGGUGUAGCGGUGAAAUGCGCAGAUAUCAGGAGGAACACCGAUGGCGAAGGCAGGUCUCUGGGCCACUACUGACGCUGAGAAGCGAAAGCAUGGGGAGCGAACAGG